UCAAGCUACUAAGGGCAUACGGCGGAUGCCUAGGCGCCAUCAGCCGAUGAAGGACGCGGUAAGCUGCGAAAAGCUACGGGGAACUGCAAGCAAGUAUUGAUCCGUAGAUGUCCGAAUGGGGAAACCCACCUGCCGUCAUGGGCAGGUAUCCGAAAGGAAGGGAACCCGGGGAACUGAAACAUCUAAGUACCCGGAGGAAGAGAAAUCAAACGAGAUGCCCACAGUAGCGGCGAGCGAAGAGGGCAGAGGGCAAACCGGGGAGCUACGGCUCUUCGGGGUUGAGGACUGCAUUUAGUCUUAAUGGUUUAUCCGAACUACCUGGAAAGGUAGGCAACACAGUGUAAAAGCCACGUAGGUUAAAGACCAGAGAGAUGAGCAGUAUCCAGAGUACCACGAGGCACGAGGAAUCUUGUGGGAAGCCGGGGGGACCACCCUCCAACCCUAAACACUGAAUGGCGACCGAUAGCGCAUAGUACCGUGAGGGAAAGGUGAAAAGAACCCCGGGAGGGGAGUGAAAGAGAACCUGAAACCGUAUGUCUACAAGCAGUCGGAGCGAAAGCGACGGCGUGCCUAUUGAAGAAUGAACCAACGAGUUACGUGCACUAGCGAGGUUAAGUGGAAGACACGGAGCCGAAGCGAAAGCGAGUCUUAAGAGGGCGGAUAGUUAGUGUACGUAGACCCGAAACCGCAGUGAUCUACCCAUGUCCAGGUUGAAGCGCAGGUAAAAUUGCGUGGAGGACCGAACCUGUGAGCGUUGAAAAGCUUUAGGAUGAGAUGUGGGUAGAGGUGAAAUUCCAAUCGAACGCGGAGAUAGCUGGUUCUCCCCGAAAUAGCUUUAGGGCUAGCCUCAAGUAGUAAGUAUAGGCGGUAGAGCACUGAUCGGGCUAGGGGCCAUAAAGGUUACCGAACCCUGUCAAACUCCGAAUGGUUAUACUGUAGAGCUUGGGAGUCAGACUACGAGUGAUAAGAUCCGUGGUCAAAAGGGAAACAGCCCAGACCACCAGCUAAGGUCCCCAAUGUCGUACUAAGUGGAAAAGGAUGUGGGGUUUCUAAAACAACCAGGAUGUUGGCUUAGAAGCAGCCACCAUUUAAAGAGUGCGUAAUAGCUCACUGGUCGAGAGACCCUGCGCCGAAGAUUACCGGGGCUAAAGUACGAAACCGAAGCUGUGGCUACGACUUAGGUCGUGGGGUAGGGGAGCGUUCUGUGAGGGCUGAAGUCGUUCUGUAAGGAACGGUGGACUUCACAGAAGUGAGAAUGUUGGUAUGAGUAGCGAAAAGAAUGGUGAGAAUCCAUUCCACCGAAAGCAUAAGGAUUCCUGGGCAACGAUCGUCGUCCCAGGGUAAGUCGGGACCUAAUCCGAGGCAUGGAGCGUAGGAGAUGGACAACUGGCAGAUAUUCCAGUACCGGUAAUGAUUGUUUGAGCGAUGGAGUGACACAGGAGGGCAGGCAGGCAGGAGAUUGGUUGUUCCUGUACAAGCGUGUAGGGUGGAACGUAGGCAAAUCCGCGUUCUGAGAGCCUGAGGCGUGAUGUGGAGGUUCCGGAAACGGAACCGAAGCUGCUGACCCCACACUGUCGAGAAAAGCUUCUAGUUAGAGAAUUACCGCCCGUACCGUAAACCGACACAGGUAUGCGGGGAGAGAAUCCUAAGGUGCGCGGGAGAACCCUCGUUAAGGAACUCGGCAAAAUGUACCCGUAACUUCGGGAUAAGGGUAGCCGCUGUUGUGAAGUCUGAACAGACGGAGCAUGAGGCGGUCGCAGAGAAGAGGCCCAAGCGACUGUUUACCACAAACACAGGUGCCUGCUAAAGAGAAAUCUGACGUAUAGGUGCUGACACCUGCCCAGUGCCGGAAGGUUAAGGAAGGAUGUCCGGAGCAAUCCAAAGCAUUCGACCGAAGCCCCGGUGAACGGCGGCCGUAACUAUAACGGUCCUAAGGUAGCGAAAUUCCUUGUCGGGUAAG
Molecule: ribosomal RNA, 1960 nt
Filed under: human gut metagenome
Description: bacterial LSU rRNA
Rfam family: Bacterial large subunit ribosomal RNA
Source: RNAcentral